This is a non-coding RNA of Triticum aestivum (bread wheat), 134 nucleotides long. NCBI's taxonomy places the organism in Eukaryota, Viridiplantae, Streptophyta, Magnoliopsida, Poales, Poaceae. The record is from Rfam.
GUAGUAUUCCCUCCGUCCCAAAUUCCUGUCUUACAUUUGUUUAGAUACGGAUGUAUCUAACACUAAAAUGUAACUAGAUACAUCCGUAUUUAGACAAAUUUAAGACAAGAAUUUUGGGACGGAGGGAGUACAAA